This 283-nucleotide ribosomal RNA is filed under the name uncultured bacterium. Its description in RNAcentral is "partial 16S ribosomal RNA". It matches the Rfam family "Bacterial small subunit ribosomal RNA", at positions 335 to 636 of the family's 1533-position model. The record is from RNAcentral.
GUCCUACGGGAGGCAGCAGUGGGGGAUAUUGCACAAUGGGGGGAACCCUGAUGCAGCGACGCCGCGUGGGUGAAGAAGCGCCUCGGCGCGUAAAGCCCUGUCAGCAGGGAAGAAAAUGACGGUACCUGAGUAGGAAGCUCCGGCUAAAUACGUGCCAGCAGCCGCGGUAAUACGUAUGGAGCAAGCGUUAUCCGGAUUUACUGGGUGUAAAGGGAGCGCAGGCGGUCUGGCAAGUCUGAUGUGAAAUACCGGGGCUCAACUCCGGGACUGCAUUGGAAACUGU